This 142-nucleotide microRNA precursor is filed under the name Gossypium hirsutum (cotton). RNAcentral's name for it is "MIR7502 microRNA precursor family". It matches the Rfam family "MIR7502 microRNA precursor family". The record is from Rfam by way of RNAcentral. Lineage: Eukaryota; Viridiplantae; Streptophyta; Magnoliopsida; Malvales; Malvaceae.
AGUUAAAAUUUUUGUCUAUUUCUAUCAUAAAAAAAUAUGGUUGACAAAAUAAUCAAAUAGUUACACAUAACGUCUUACGUAUAUCUCACGUCGAUGUACAGGGAUUAGUUUUUAAAAAUAGAAUUAAAUGAAAAUUUUAAUA